CUACGGGUUGCACCAGUGAGGAAUAUUGGUCAAUGGGCGAGAGCCUGAACCAGCCAUCCCGCGUGCAGGAUGACGGCCCUAUGGGUUGUAAACUGCUUUUCCAUACCAAGAAACCUGAUUACGUGUAAUUAGUUGCCGGUAGUAUGGGAAUAAGCAUCGGCUAACUCCGUGCCAGCAGCCGCGGUGAAUACGGAGGAUGCAAGCGUUAUCCGGAUUCAUUGGGUUUAAAGGGUGCGCAGGUGGGCUUGUAAGUCAGUGGUGAAAUGUUGCCGCUUAACGGUAAAAUUGCCAUUGAUACUGCGAGUCUUGAAUAUAGUUGAGGUAGGCGGAAUGUGUUGUGUAGCGGUGAAAUGCAUAGAUAUGACACAGAACACCGAUUGCGAAGGCAGCUUACUAAGCUAUUAUUGACGCUGAGGCACGAAAGCGUGGGGAUCGAACAGGAUUAGAUACCCCAGUAGUC
RNAcentral lists this ribosomal RNA (460 nucleotides) under uncultured bacterium. RNAcentral's name for it is "partial 16S ribosomal RNA". It matches the Rfam family "Bacterial small subunit ribosomal RNA", at positions 339 to 795 of the family's 1533-position model. The record is from RNAcentral.